UGGAGGAAUGAUGAGCAAAUGAGUCAAGAUUGGGCUGUGGUAGAGGAAACGAACCUCCAUCAGGACCUUAGAUGGUAACGGAAUGAGUUCUAGACCUAGGGCCAGCAGCCUAAAAGUUGGAGAUACAGAUAGUGCAUUUGUGGAGGAAGAAGCUGAGACUGAAGACCUUGGGCCCUGGCUUAUAACGGAAUCUGAAUAAAACCAUA
Molecule: long non-coding RNA, 206 nt
Organism: Mesocricetus auratus (golden hamster)
Lineage: Eukaryota; Metazoa; Chordata; Mammalia; Rodentia; Cricetidae
Exons: 3
Source: RefSeq, a predicted model, not a curated record